Molecule: long non-coding RNA, 2947 nt
Filed under: Panax ginseng (ginseng)
Lineage: Eukaryota; Viridiplantae; Streptophyta; Magnoliopsida; Apiales; Araliaceae
Description: long non-coding RNA (PGIN_LNC010678)
Source: RNAcentral
CAAGAUCACAAGCUCGAUCUGCUCAACCAUCACUUGUGCAUCUAACAAGCAAAUUACGUGCCAUAUUUGCACGUUCACCGAAUGCCCAUGAUGGGCCUGCGAAUGAAGUGUGUACUCCCGUUUCUACCUCGACGCAACAUACUAAUGACACUAUAGUUGGUGAAAACUUUACCCAACCAGAAGAAAGUGGCCCUACACCGAUGUCCGGUGAGCAAGGGUCUUCAAAAGGGUCUGGACCAUGUGAGUUUUCUCUAGAUCUAUUUAGUUAACAUAUGUUAUACACAUUUGUAUAUAUAUGUUAAUACAUAGUUUUUGUUGUCUUGUUAAUUUGUUGUUCCCUUUACUUCUUCACAUCUAAUUUUUUAAAUAGCUUCAUCUUCAGCAAAGAAAAUAUGCGGACCUACUUGCGGUAUUGGACUUGAGAAGCUCACCAAGGCAAAAGGAAAGAAGUUGGCUAUCAAUGUGUCACCUAGUAAAGGGAGGCCCACAAAUCCUAUAGAAUUUGCUAAGUUGUCGUCGGAGAUAGGAUUGAUGGUCCGCAACAACCUCCCAAUGAAUACCAAAUUCAAGGAUAUUACAGAGGGAAUAAUUGAAUAAUCAUUGUCGAGGAUUGAAGUAAGUUGCAGAAAAUUAAAUUAUGUCAAAUAUUGUUAUUCCUAGUUGGGUCUGCUUUGUUUUUUCUGAAAAAGGCUAAAUUUAUUUCUGAAAAGAUUCCCAAAUCCAACAGUUAUGGAUAUGAGGGGAACCGCACUACAUCGAUCUGAAUACAUCGAAAACUCUUACAAAAAACUGAAUAUAACAUGCAAGCAUACAUAAAUUGAGUGCUAGUGUUCUAGAUAUCAUCUUGUUUUGAUUUGAUCUAUUUGUCCUUUUGGCAGUUAGUUUUUGUUUUAUGUGUUGUUUCAAUCCCUAAAUUAACUGACCUUACUAAAGUAUUCAAUUGCUCUAGUUAAAAGUAGUAGUGCUUUAGUUUUGCAGCACGGUCGAGAAGUGGACAGUAAUAUAUAGUCAUUUUAUGUUUGUUGCUAGCACAGACUUUUUCUUGUAGACCAGAAAGAUAGUGCUUAUAAUUUAAAAAACAAUCUCCGCAUAAAUCUUCUCCUUAAAAGAGGAAUUUAGGCUUGGCUUAAGCCUGUUAAGGUAAGAUGAAUAAAUUUAUGGUGGUGAGAUAUGCACACUAUACAAGUAUAUGUUGAUAAUUAUUAUACAAUCUUGCAUUGCAUUAACAAUGCAUAUAUUGAGCAAGCAACUAUCAGUUAGGCAUGUCCAUAUAUUAGCACCAUAUAUUUAUUAGAACAAGCUAAAAAUUAUUGAUGAUUAAACCACCAACAUAGUUCUUCCUAAAAUAGGAUCUUACUAAUGCAUAUCACUUAAGCAUUUGUUGUUCAUCGUUCAGAGAAGGUAUGUAUGUAUGUAUAUUUGUUUCAAUUUGGUUAAAUUUGUUGAGGAUUGUGAUUUUGUGUGAAGGAGCCUCAAAUUUUCAGCAACAAGGAUCUUUUAAUUUAUUGGCAUGACAUUAGAAGACAUGUAAGGUGAAAUGCAUCCCUCAAUAAUGCUCUCGUUAUUAGUUAUUCUAAUUUGAUUUUCAGGGAGAUCCAAUUGAAGGUUACAAAAGCACACAUCAAAAAAAGCGAACAAACGAGUGGGUACAACCUGAAAAUGAAUAUGCACACGUAAGUUAUACAAACCUUACCUUGUUUUUGAUAACAAAGGUAGUCAGACAUGAUUUAGGCAUUAGUCUUGAUUUACAUUGCAAUCUUUUAACUGAAGUUAACGAAGCUACUUGAUUUAGACAUAAUUUAUGUCUAAUAAUCUUGUUUUUUAAGUUGAAUAAAAAAAUAGCAGUAGCUUUAACACAUGUUGAUCAAUCUAGAUUCUUAGAUUACUGAUGGAGCUAGAUUUUAUGAAUGUUACAUUAAGAGAGAUUUAUUUAACAGCUCUUGUAUAGCUCAUGCCUGAAGCUUGACUGCAUGUACAUGUAAAUCAUUUGGUGCUAGCUUGGUUUUAGUGAAAUUGCAAGCUUUGUUCAAGUGCUUAGCAACCUCGAUCAUUCUUAUGUGUGCACCUAAAGUAGUACCUGCAGUUCAAUUGUGUUUUAUAUGCGUCAUCUGUUAUGAUUAUGAUUCCGUUAUUUAAUGGAUGACCAAAUUUGCUGAAUGUGGUUGUGACAUAAAUUCUGAACAUGUUGCUUUUGACAUAUAGCUUAGGUUCUGUUUACUGUUUUUAUGGCACUGCCACAGUUUUCUGCGAGUUAGGAUAACUAAUUAAUUUGCUCGGUUUCUUAUUUUAAGUUGCUUAGAAAUAGUUCGGGUAAUUUCCCGUAAUAGCAACGGUAUAAUCUUUAGCCUUGUUUGAAGACUGCACAUGCUAUGCUACAUUUACUUAACUUCAUUUUUCAGAAUUUCACUUUUGAUUCUAACCUGAUGGGUUUUGAGUCUUGUAGUUAAUUUCACAUAAUGAAAUGAAAUCACUUGAGAGUGAAUGCAUCUCUAACAUGGAAGCAGAAUCUGAAAAUAUUGACACUAAUGACAAAAGGGAGAUUAUGACUCGAGUGUUGGGUAAGAAGGCCGGGAGAUUGCUUGAUUUUGAAUUUGGUCCUCGAGCGGAGAAGUUUCAUCUAGCAAGAAAGAAAAAGCAUUGGCAAUAGAGUUGGAAACAUUCCGCUCUAAGAAUGAAGAGUUUCAAUCAAUCUGAAAGCAUUCAGGUACAAGAGAAACGGAUUGACAAUCUCGAGAAUAUAAUGAACAAAUGGGCCGACAAUCCAAAAUUCUUACGGUUGAUUCAAGGCAUCACCAACUUAGGGACAAAAAGAGUUGAAAACAACUGCUAAUCAUUAUUUAUUGACAUUCAAAACUGUUGAACUUUUGUUGUGGACAUUACAAAAAUUUUGAUAUUUUGUUAAACAUGUUAGACUUGGUAAAUCAUUAAUAUAAAGUACAAUGGAUGA